RNAcentral lists this ribosomal RNA (515 nucleotides) under Paraphrynus carolynae. RNAcentral describes it as "partial large subunit ribosomal RNA". It matches the Rfam family "Bacterial large subunit ribosomal RNA", at positions 1819 to 2600 of the family's 2925-position model. The record is from RNAcentral. RNAcentral also lists the same sequence under 1 other name. Lineage: Eukaryota; Metazoa; Arthropoda; Arachnida; Amblypygi; Phrynidae.
GGUUUUUUGAAUUUAAUGAAAAAUCUAGCCUGCCCAAUGAUAAUAUUUAAUGGCCGCAGUAUUUUGACUGUGCUAAGGUAGCAUAAUAAUUAGUCUUAUAAUUUAGGACUGGAAUGAAAGGUUGGACGAGGGAAACUCUGUGUCUAAAAAUAAACUUAAUUUGGUGUUUGUUGUGAAGAGGCAACAAAGUAGCUGAGGGACGAGAAGACCCUAUUGAGUUUUACAAAAAUUUUUUGAAAAAUUAUGAUAAGAAUAAGUAAUUUUUGGGAGGUUUGUGUUUUGCUGGGGCGGUGUUGAUUAGAUUUAAUCUUUUAAAAGUUAUGAGAUGAAUUUUUUACGUGGAGCCAGGGAUGAAGUUUCUUGAUAUGUGGAUUAAAUUACUAUAGGGAUAACAGCGUAAUAUUGUCGGAGAGUUCUUAUUGAUGACAGAUUUUGCGACCUCGAUGUUGAAUUAAAAUACCUACUUGGUGGAGGGACUAAGCAGAGGUGGUCUGUUCGACCAUUAAAAUUUUACA